Molecule: long non-coding RNA, 285 nt
Filed under: Mustela putorius furo (domestic ferret)
Lineage: Eukaryota; Metazoa; Chordata; Mammalia; Carnivora; Mustelidae
Description: lncRNA (ENSMPUG00000028763.1)
Source: RNAcentral
UUUCUUCUCCCCUAGAAACGUUUUCUUUCUUGUACUUGUUUCACAAAGUGUUUAAAGCAGAGCUGCCUUCCACUUUUCGGUUUCAGUUUGUUGCAAGAAUGUGUGAGGCACCACCUAACACUCCUGGUGUGCUUGAGAACUGUAAAAUAAUAAUGAGAUCUUGCAGGAGAUAAGUCUACUCUAUGAGGACUGAAGCUGCCGGUCAUUCCCAAGGCCAGACCAAUUGUCUAACAAAGGGUGCCUGGAAUUUUGUGCACACUUGUGCCCAGACACAAGAAAGCUGCU